UACGAAGGGGGCUAGCGUUGUUCGGAAUCACUGGGCGUAAAGCGUACGCAGGCGGAUUGAUAAGUCAGGGGUGAAAUCCCGGGGCUCAACCUCGGAAUUGCCUUUGAUACUGUCUAUCUUCGAGUUCGGGAGAGGUUGGCGGAAUUCCUAGUGUAGAGGUGAAAUUCGUAGAUAUUAGGAAGAACACCAGUGGCGAAGGCGGCCAACUGGCCCGAUACUGACGCUCAUGUACGAAAGCGUGGGGA
This 245-nucleotide ribosomal RNA is filed under the name uncultured Rhodomicrobium sp. RNAcentral's name for it is "partial 16S ribosomal RNA". It matches the Rfam family "Bacterial small subunit ribosomal RNA", at positions 524 to 767 of the family's 1533-position model. The record is from RNAcentral. Lineage: Bacteria; Pseudomonadati; Pseudomonadota; Alphaproteobacteria; Hyphomicrobiales; Hyphomicrobiaceae.